AUGCCGGUGGACGUGCAGCAGCAUCUUAUCUCGAAGACAUCAGCGAAGGAGGCGUGGGACACGUUCAAGACGUUGCAUCUAGGACACUCGCGUGUGCGCGAGCCGAACUUGCAAACUUUGUUGAAGAGUGACGAGAAUCUGAGGAUGGGAGAAGAUGAUACGGUGGACGCCUUCGCCGCAAGGGUUGAAACGAUGGUAAACGGGGUUCGUUGUCUCGGAGAGAAGUUGGAGGACAUCUCCGCGGUCAUGCGUUUCCUACGUGCCGCUCCACCGCGCUACAUGCCGAUUGUGUCAGCGAUCGAGCAAUACGUUGAUCUCAAGACUCUCACUUUGGAUGAUCUGGUUGGUCGCUUCAAGGCCCAUGAUGAGCAGAUGAAGCUGAGUUACGGUGAUGCAAAACAGGAUGAGUACCUGAUGCUUACGCGUGCUCAGUGGGCAUUGGUUUUCAAGGAGAACAAUUUCGACAAGGCGUCUGGUAUCGGCGGAAAGUACCGUCCCGCAUAG
This 504-nucleotide ribosomal RNA is filed under the name Triticum aestivum (bread wheat). RNAcentral describes it as "partial small subunit ribosomal RNA". The record is from RNAcentral. Lineage: Eukaryota; Viridiplantae; Streptophyta; Magnoliopsida; Poales; Poaceae.